Molecule: ribosomal RNA, 510 nt
Filed under: uncultured bacterium
Lineage: Bacteria
Description: bacterial SSU rRNA
Rfam family: Bacterial small subunit ribosomal RNA
Source: RNAcentral
CUACGUGCCAGCAGCCGCGGUAAUACGUAGGUCCCGAGCGUUGUCCGGAUUUAUUGGGCGUAAAGCGAGCGCAGGCGGUUAGAUAAGUCUGAAGUUAAAGGCUGUGGCUUAACCAUAGUACGCUUUGGAAACUGUUUAACUUGAGUGCAAGAGGGGAGAGUGGAAUUCCAUGUGUAGCGGUGAAAUGCGUAGAUAUAUGGAGGAACACCGGUGGCGAAAGCGGCUCUCUGGCUUGUAACUGACGCUGAGGCUCGAAAGCGUGGGGAGCGAACAGGAUUAGAUACCCUGGUAGUCCACGCCGUAAACGAUGAGUGCUAGGUGUUAGACCCUUUCCGGGGUUUAGUGCCGUAGCUAACGCAUUAAGCACUCCGCCUGGGGAGUACGACCGCAAGGUUGAAACUCAAAGGAAUUGACGGGGGCCCGCACAAGCGGUGGAGCAUGUGGUUUAAUUCGAAGCAACGCGAAGAACCUUACCAGGUCUUGACAUCCCUCUGACCGCUCUAGAGAUAG